CCUUCUACUUUUGCAGUAGCGAAGUUUGACUUGUAAAUCUUUUCUUCUACUUGAGCCGGAGCGAACGUUGAAAACAACUCCUUAUUAGCACAAACACGGCAUGUGGCACCAAAAUUCAUCCACCAUUCGCGAAGAUUUCCCACCAAGUUGCAUUCGGAAAGCAUAGCACACAGAUCAUCCAUUUCUUUCUUAGGCUCAGCCAAAUUUGCUUGGUCCUUCUUCUUCCCUUUCUUCGAGGCACGGCAAUCCGUAUACUUGUGGCCAAUCUUGCCACAGUUGAAGCGCUUUCCCUUGAAUUUCUUCUUGGGUUGAUUGCUUUCAUUUCCAGCUUUCUUUCAUUUUUUUGAGUUGUUUUGGUCAUCUUCUACAAUGCUUGCUCCAUUCAUUGCAGAAUUGCCUCUUGACCUUCUUUCCGUAGUCUUAUUAUCUUCUUUAAUGCGUAGUCGUACAAUCAAAUCUUUGACUGACAUCUCCUUUCGUUUGUGUUUUAAAUAGUUCUUGAAGUCUUUCCAUAAAGGUGGUAGCUUCUCUAUUAUAACAGCUUUUUG
This 548-nucleotide long non-coding RNA is filed under the name Capsicum annuum. RNAcentral's name for it is "long non-coding RNA (CANN_LNC018384)". The record is from RNAcentral. Lineage: Eukaryota; Viridiplantae; Streptophyta; Magnoliopsida; Solanales; Solanaceae.